UACGUAGGUGGCAAGCGUUAUCCGGAUUUAUUGGGUGUAAAGGGCGUGUAGGCGGGAAUGCAAGUCAGAUGUGAAAACUAUGGGCUCAACCCAUAGCCUGCAUUUGAAACUGUAUUUCUUGAGUGCUGGAGAGGCAAUCGGAAUUCCGUGUGUAGCGGUGAAAUGCAUAGAUAUCGCGCAGAACUCCGAUUGCGAAGGCAGCGUACCGGCGCCACACUGACGCUGAGGUUCGAAAGCGUGGGUAGCAAACAGG
Molecule: ribosomal RNA, 253 nt
Filed under: uncultured Oscillospira sp.
Lineage: Bacteria; Bacillati; Bacillota; Clostridia; Eubacteriales; Oscillospiraceae
Description: partial 16S ribosomal RNA
Rfam family: Bacterial small subunit ribosomal RNA
Source: RNAcentral